Long non-coding RNA from Nycticebus coucang (slow loris), 838 nucleotides. RefSeq lists it as uncharacterized. The transcript is spliced from 2 exons. The record is from RefSeq and is a predicted model, not a curated record. NCBI's taxonomy places the organism in Eukaryota, Metazoa, Chordata, Mammalia, Primates, Lorisidae.
UUGUGUUGAAUCUGAACUCAUUUGUGUUUCUGUCAAUGUGGGUGCCUGGUGGAACCAGUCUGAAGAUGGAUGUAUGACAAGAGGUGGUGUCCACAACCAGAGAAGAAGCAUCAUGCUGCUUCUCCCGUUGAUGAGUCAACUGGAUGCAGAAAACCCUCUAUGGAAACUCACAAACUAUCUUUCACUCAGGGAAAGUCACUAAAAAGGAAAAUAUCCCCCUGCAUUGAAAACAGGGAUGAUGCUGGAUCUUUUCUGGGUAACGUACUGGAGCAAUACUGUGAUCAGGCUCUGUGAUUUGAUUCCACAAAUGACAUUCUUGCACCUCUUACAAAGAUUGUGGAUGGUGUUGACAUGAACCCUCAUGAUGUCGGUGGUUGUCCAAACAUCUGAUAUUCGGGAAGGCCCACAAGACGGUAAGGCUUGAGCAACUUGGGGUAGUUCACUCUCUCCCCUUGAGGCCCCGGCUGGAAGAGCAGAAGGAAAUUUUUUCCUCCUUACACUAUGUUAUAGAUGACAUCCAUGGAAAAAGAACCCGAACUCUAUAUAAUAAUUUCAAGAAGGUCAUUUUGAGCUGGAUAUGUGUGUGAACAUGGCUAGGAGAGUAACACCCAAGAAGACCUGAGCAAGUGGUUUUGUCAUGGUUGGGUGACAGUUUGGCUUCCUACAUUUCAAGGAGGAAAGCGUUACAUGUAAAGUCAUAAAUCAAUAUGUAUCUGGAUGUAUCUGGGUUUGAGCUGGAAAGGCAGGACAUUUUGAAGCAGGAGAUUAUAGGUUAUGGGUGGGUUUUAAGAUUCUUUGAUUUGUGAUUGGUUCAGGAAAUAAAGGUUUGUCUAAAGCA